Molecule: ribosomal RNA, 375 nt
Filed under: uncultured bacterium
Lineage: Bacteria
Description: bacterial SSU rRNA
Rfam family: Bacterial small subunit ribosomal RNA
Source: RNAcentral
UACGAAGGGGGCGAGCGUUGUUCGGAAUUACUGGGCGUAAAGGGCGCGUAGGCGGCGAUCCAAGUCAGGCGUGAAAGCCCCGGGCUCAACCUGGGAGGUGCGCUUGGGACUGGAUGGCUGGAGUUCGGGAGAGGAGCGUGGAAUUCCCAGUGUAGAGGUGAAAUUCGUAGAUAUUGGGAAGAACACCGGUGGCGAAGGCGGCGCUCUGGACCGACACUGACGCUGAGGCGCGAAAGCGUGGGGAGCAAACAGGAUUAGAUACCCUGGUAGUCCACGCGGUAAACGAUGUGUGCUAGACGUUGGGGAGCCUAGCUCUUCGGUGUCGCAGCCAACGCAUUAAGCACACCGCCUGGGGAGUACGGCCGCAAGGUUAAA